AGAUUGAACGCUAGCGGGAUGCUUUACACAUGCAAGUCGAACGGCAGCGCGGACUUCGGUCUGGCGGCGAGUGGCGAACGGGUGAGUAAUAUAUCGGAACGUGCCCAGUAGCGGGGGAUAACUACGCGAAAGCGUGGCUAAUACCGCAUACGCCCUACGGGGGAAAGGGGGGAUCGCAAGACCUCUCACUAUUGGAGCGGGCCU
RNAcentral lists this ribosomal RNA (204 nucleotides) under uncultured soil bacterium. RNAcentral's name for it is "partial 16S ribosomal RNA". It matches the Rfam family "Bacterial small subunit ribosomal RNA", at positions 26 to 232 of the family's 1533-position model. The record is from RNAcentral.